UGAGCUGAAGCUGCAGCUUGGGACCCGAUCGAUCGUGAGGAAAGACGCGGCCACACUGUCCCGAGGAAAUGCGGACCGAGGUUUGCAAGCCACUUGUCAGAACAAAGCACUUAGGAAAUUUUACUGAUAUCGUGGCCCCCUUUACUACUUGGACUCCCUUGCCUUUCGAUCUCAGAAUCACCACUAGCUCCCUUCUGAUUAAGCAAGAAUUGAUUAAGCGGGGCUUUUAGUUGGACACUGAAAGCUGAGAUGCAGAUAGUGAUUCUGGAAGAGGGGUAGUAAUGCGCCCAAACGUGCCCAUCCUGGAACCCUUGGUCUACACAGGACCCACUAGGCACACCUACAGCGUACCAAGCUCGGUAGCUCACCUCAGGGCAGCCCCUCACAACCUAGUACACAUCAGGAUUACCUGAGGAGUUCCUGAAGCUGCAGACUGAGUGAAGGGAUACAGGAAUAGCAGUCUGGCCAAGCUCUCCAGAUGACUUUAACACAAGUGGUCCACUGACCCCACAAUAAGAAACAUGCUCUUGAAAAAAGUUUCAAACUCCAGGCAUAUAAUCUGCGAUCCGGCCAAAGAGCAGCCGUCCGACUCCUGAAGUGAUGCCAAUGCACAUGAGAACCACCUCUUUAUUUUUUCCAUCUUGAAAUCUUUCAUUCACAUAUUUCAUCUGUGGACCAUCAAGAAAGAAGCAACACUAAAUACGGAGGACCUGAACCAAACUGACACCCCUGAAACAGCUGGAGUGGAGCUUCCAGGAUAAAGCAGAAAGGAGUGACAGUGCCAGACACAGGGAGACAUCAGACAGUGUUUUUCCAUGGAGAACCCAGCCCAAGUCCUCUGGCUUUUAGUCAACCAUGAAGAAAAUUAAAUGGGUGACCACAGAAUAAAAACAGCUCCUAUAAAACUGAUAACUGAGCAGGCAAAAAUCAACAACAGUUAUCAUCCACGGCUGUUGCAGUUACUGUGCCCUCUGAGAGAUAAACAGAUUCCCGUAAUGCAGUCAUCAACUGUCCUUGCCUGUGAAGAUUUUGAUUUCCUGAUCUCCUGCCCUUCCUCUUCAGAUACACAUCGUCAAGCUGGACACCAGGUACAUAAAUAUCUUAUUUAAAAGUCACACUCUUCAGAGGAGCCAGGCUCAAGCCCUGGCCAUACCAGCUACCAGCCUUGCAUGAUUGCCUAUCUCACAGUGUGGCCCUGAGACUCCAGUGAAAGAUAACGUUUGUGGGAACUUCUUGUAUGUCAAACGUCAAUAAAAAUGUGGGAAAUCAGUAAA
Panthera uncia (snow leopard) is the source of this 1274-nucleotide long non-coding RNA. RefSeq lists it as uncharacterized. The transcript is spliced from 9 exons. Lineage: Eukaryota; Metazoa; Chordata; Mammalia; Carnivora; Felidae. The record is from RefSeq and is a predicted model, not a curated record.